GAUGAAGAACGUAGCGAAAUGCGAUAAGUAAUGUGAAUUGCAGAAUUCAGUGAAUCAUCGAAUCUUUGAACGCACAUUGCGCCUGUCAGUAUUCUGGCGGGCAUGCCUGUUCGAGCGUCAUUACGCCCCUCAAGUCCCCUGUGGACUUGGUGUUGGGGAUCGGCGAGGCUGGUUUUCCAGCACAGCCGUCCCUUAAAUUAAUUGGCGGUCUCGCCGUGGCCCUCCUCUGCGCAGUAGUAAAACACUCGCAACAGGAGCCCGGCGCGGUCCACUGCCGUAAAACCCCCCAACUUUUUAUAGUUGACCUCGAAUCAGGUAGGACUACCCGCUGAACUUAAGCAUAUCAAUAAGCGGAGGA
RNAcentral lists this unclassified non-coding RNA (358 nucleotides) under soil metagenome. RNAcentral describes it as "partial contains 5.8S ribosomal RNA, internal transcribed spacer 2, and large subunit ribosomal RNA". The stretch from base 1 to 120 matches the Rfam family "5.8S ribosomal RNA", at positions 35 to 154 of the family's 154-position model. The record is from RNAcentral.